Molecule: long non-coding RNA, 2122 nt
Filed under: Setaria viridis
Lineage: Eukaryota; Viridiplantae; Streptophyta; Magnoliopsida; Poales; Poaceae
Description: long non-coding RNA (SVIR_LNC003897)
Source: RNAcentral
UUGAGUGGCAAAAGAUGCCCAUAUGUAGCAGAAGCCUCAAAAUAAGUUUGCAAGGCACAGGUAGCGUAUAUGCAUGGAAAGAUGGAAGGAGUACAACUAAAAUUGAUCCAGCAAAUGUUAAAUCAUCCUUGGAGGACUAUUAGGACCCAUCAUGAAAAUUCCAACUGCUGUGGCAGUCAACUUGUAGGAUCUUGCAUUCAGUAUCUGUGGGAGAGCUUCUCCUGCUCCUUGUACCACAUUGCAUACCUGCAUAGAUACAUAAAAAAGAAUCAGAAAUCAAGGAUGUCAAUUAUCUGAACUCUCAAAACCGCUAAUCAAAUCUGCUAAUUAAAUCUGACGAGGAAGUUCAGUUGUUCGACAUGUGUUGUUUUCAUAUUACAAAUGGAAAUACAAUUGUUCAAACAGCAUCUUGUGAACUGUAGGAUACUUUCAUUCAGGCAAUCAAAUAGAACAGCACAAACACAGAUAUUAUUUCCAGUUUUCAGAUACUGAAUUUGAAGUGAAUUUUGCUGCCGUCUUCAGAAUUGGUGCGAAACUAUGCCACUUAUCAUCUGUGCAUUGCUAAGUCACAACAUGAGCUGAUUAUUCAAGGAGUUUUGGUGUUGAGUAAACAAACAAAUCUACACCAGCAUUGCCGUCAGAACUGGCAUGACAUUUAUGCUAAUAAUAAGAAUCAGUGUUAUAGCAUUGCACAGUUUGAGAUGAGUAUUGAGGGAGUUAUGUACAAAAAAAAUUGUACAUAAAAAAUGGCUAUAAUCCAAAGCACACAAAGAGGUUUCUCAAUUCUAUCAGAGCCGAAGCAUAGGGCACUUAUAACGUUGUACAAGAAUACUGAGAAUUACAAAAGCAUAUUAAGGCUAGUUCCUAAAUUUAACUAAUUGUGUUAACAGUUUGCCCUAGCAUUCAGAUUUAAAGCUACCACAAGAUCAGAGAGACUGAAUUUGCAUGCCAAUUACUUAUUGGACUUGAAAAUCGUACAAUCUAACUAUAAUGCUUUAAUUUAAAUACUUGAAAGUUCAGCCCAGAAAAAAAUAUUAGAUUAAGAUGAUCAUUGUAUGGCUAACUUGUUUGACCUAUCAAGCUACAACAUAAAAACAACCCUAACCACUACCUGAAUGCCCUACACAAUUAGCUUGGCAACGCUAACCAAUUAAAUCUGGUGCCAUUUCAUCGGACAUUGCUGGUGGAAGUAAUCAGAAAUGGAAGCAUGCAUCAACUAAGUAGCACAGUACAAGGGGCGUUUCACCCAGCAUCAAGACCUACAUAAGUAUGACAUGGCCGAAAACAAUGGUAAAUAAAUGACCACAUAAGUAUGUCAUGAGCGUUCCGAUUUCCAUAAUCAAACCCAGCAGACCAACGAAAUCAAACUCAUCAUCCACAACGAAACCACCCAACUAACAUUAAUUCCGCGUCCCAGCCCUACCAAAAUCAGGGCACAACAGAGGAGUGAAGCACCGCAAACAAUCAUGUGCAUUCUUCCCACGUAAAACGAGACUAAGACACGAGCAAUCCACCGAACCCUAACCGGAUCUCCCCGUCAGCCCGACCAGCACUCGAUCCGACCAGAUCUGCGUGUAGGGGAGGAAAGGCAGGCGAGCGAGCGAGCGCCGAGGGGGGAGCGGGGCCUUACUGGUAGGUGCCGACGACGGGGCCGAGGAGGAGCCCGGCGGAGAUCCAGUUCUCGGUGACCUUGUGGUGGAUCUUGGUGGUGAUGUCCUUCCACAGCCCCGGCAUCACCUUCUGCUGGAACGGCGAGAGCGAGUACACCACCGCCUUCAUCCGCACCGGAACCUUCCCCAUCCUUCCGCCGCGUCGCCGGCCGGCCGGACUUCCUCCUCGGGACGGGAUGCUUCGAUCGCCUCGCGCACGCCGAUGUGUGUGGGUGACUUCGGGAUCGUUCGGUCGCCGGGCAGAUGGGCUAGGGUUCGGUAUAUAGGCCAGAGGUGGGCUUGGGCUGGGCGAGUUUUGAUGGGCCGACCGCUGGCUGCUCGCUGCGACGGGGCCCCAUUUCUGUUAAGCUCAACUGGGACGGACCUUUUACUUUCUCGGCCGAAAAAAGAAGAGAAAGAUCAACCCCAUGCCAUUCAAAAACAAGGUGGAAAUCCCUCGAACUGGAUGAUUA